Molecule: RNA transcript, 1375 nt
Organism: Carlito syrichta (Philippine tarsier)
Lineage: Eukaryota; Metazoa; Chordata; Mammalia; Primates; Tarsiidae
Gene name: putative monooxygenase p33MONOX pseudogene
Exons: 1
Source: RefSeq, a predicted model, not a curated record
CCGCUCGCGCCAUGACUUGGGUUCGGACCGCGCCGCAGCCCCUCGGGAGCCGUGGGCCCUCGGAGCCUCUUUAGUGCCGGACUGCGGGCUGCAGGCAGCUCCGCUGCAGCAGGACACCAGAGCCGCUGGAUGGACUCUCCCUGGGAAGCUUUGCUGACUUGCAGCAGCUGGACUAUGUUCCUCGUUCACAACUGUCUGUCAGCAUAGUCGUCACGUCAUUUCACUGUGCUCUUGAGGCGAGUGGGCCUCUAGGCAAGAUGUCCCUUCCCAUAGGGAUAUGCCGCUGGGCAUUCAAUUAUGACGAUGCCCUUGAGGACCCUGCGCCCAUGACUCCUCCUCCCUCGGACAUGGGCAGCAUCCCCUGGAAGCCAGUGAUUCCAGAGCACAAGUACCAGCACCUCGCCAAGGUGGAGGAAGCAGAGCCCAGCGUGUCCUCUCCUGCCAUGACCCUGUCAUCGACCAUUGACAGAACGGACAAGGUCCCGGUGGUGAAGGCCAAAGCUGCCCAUGUCAUCAUGAGUUCUCUGAACACAAAACAGACCCAGGAAAGCAUUCAGCGUUUUGAGCAGCAGGCAAAACUGAGAGAUGCCGGCUACACACCGCACAAGGGCCUAACGGCCGAGGAGACCAAGUACCUUCAAGGGGCCGAAGCGCUCCACAAACUCAAGCUACAGAGCGGAGAGAUGGCGAAGGAAGAGAAGCAGCCUGCGUCCACCCAGUCCACCCCGAGCAGCAGCCCGCACUCCUCCCCCAAGAGGCCCAGAUGCUGGUUCACUUCUGGCUCUUCUGCAACCUUUCCUGGUCCCAACCCCAGCCCCAUGGACCCCGGAAGUGGGGAUAGGGACAGACCCGCAUCAGAUAAAUGCAGCCUGUUUGGACCAAGAUCCCUCCAGAAGUAUGAUUCAGGAACUUUUGCCACCCAGGCCCACCCAGGAGCCCCGAAGCCGUCUCCAAUGGAGCUGACCCGCGUCCAGGUCACCCGGAUGGCUGAGGAUCCAGUAACUUUCAGGACCCCCAAAAUGGACGUCCUGGUGAUGGAAGGGAAGAAGCCACCACCACGGGCCCAUAGUCUCAAACCCCGAGACUUGAAUAUGUUCACCCCCACCGGCUUCUAGAGCCCUGUCUAUUCCAGGAAUGCUGGAAAGGCGGUUUCGCGUACCCCAUACCCCUUCCGCCUUGGCUCGGACAUAGGAAAGGAACAUGUUUUUAAAAGUCUGUUAAACUGAGGCCAGAGCUGGAGACAUGGUUCGUUUUUGAGACGCAUUACUGCAAAGCUUGCUGUUGUAUGGAGGGAGCCAUUUUGUGCAGUUUUUCUGUUGACCCACUGGGCUCCGGCGAUCCUUCCACCUCUGCCUUCCAAGCAGCCGGAAUCACA